GUGCUUUCUUACUAUUGUACUGUAAAAGAAAAUCCUAGAAUAAGAUUCUUCCUGCCCCCAUUGCUUUUCUGGAACUUUCAAAGUUGGGGCACAGGAGGAUGCAGUAGAAGAAAGAUGAAAAAAUUCUAUUUCUGGAGCCACUGGCAUUAUUUUUUGACUAACAACAUCUGUUUUUCAUGUCCUCUGCUACUGCAGACAUCCAGAAGCUGCCUGCAACAUGAGAUGGCUACAGUCAAUUGAUGCCUCCCAAAAUUCUGCAUGUGGGAAGCAGGCACCGGUGUCUGUAUUCUUGGAUGUGCCUGCUGUGGCCACACUGAAGAAACAAAUAGACCCACACCCAUAAUUUAGAUUGGAUGUGAAGAAUGAUGAAGACACACACACACCAAGAAGGUAUGAAAACAUUUAUUAUUUACAUAGUAAGGCUUUUUGAGAAGAGCAGAACAUGCUUCCCAUACUGGACAGGUUCUACUAUCUUUUCAGUAAGUCCUACUAAAUGGACUUUAAUGGAUGUGAAUAAAAGCUGCUUUACAGAAUGUGAGGGUAAUUAUCACUCAUAGUCUUCAGUUUUGGAGCUUUCCUCAAAAUUCUGAUACAACAGGAA
Choloepus didactylus (southern two-toed sloth) is the source of this 601-nucleotide long non-coding RNA. RefSeq lists it as uncharacterized. NCBI's taxonomy places the organism in Eukaryota, Metazoa, Chordata, Mammalia, Pilosa, Megalonychidae. The record is from RefSeq and is a predicted model, not a curated record. The transcript is spliced from 3 exons.